This 65-nucleotide transfer RNA is filed under the name Urechis unicinctus. Its description in RNAcentral is "tRNA-Glu". The record is from RNAcentral. Lineage: Eukaryota; Metazoa; Annelida; Polychaeta; Xenopneusta; Urechidae.
AUAUAUAUGGUGUAAACAACACCUUACCUUUUCACGGUAAAAAUAUAGAACUUCUAUUAUAUAUA